GGAAUUGGAGCACUCCACCAAGCAGUAUGUUUCUUCAUAUAUACUUUUGAAGGCCUAUCUACCAAUUUUGCAUGGCUGCUCCGGUGGUCCCUAUCUAAUUCCCUCUGUUAACUUUUGUGUUUGCAGGGGCUGCCGGUUAGUUCGCCAAUCAUUUUUUCACAACAAUCCUUCAAUUUUUUUGGACUUGGGUGCAGGGAUUAGGCUGUAGAGGAUUUCACUCUACCAUUCGAGCCGCAAAGAGUGGGUUUUGUCUUAAUAUUGAUGUUUCCACGACAAUGAUUUUCAAGCCUGACCCUGUUGUUGAUUUUUUACUUGCCAAUCAGAAGGUUGAUCACCCGAAUGAAAUUUAUCGUGGGAAAGGUCAAGCGUGCAGUCAAGAAUUUAAGGAUAAAAACAAGCCCGGCAAACACAGAGCACACGACCAUUGGCUUGAGUCAUGAACAUAUUCUAAUCUGCUAUGUGCGUCUGGAUGCUUCUCAGGUGGCAAACUAAAUCAAGUUUGAUGAGAUGUCUGAGCCAGGGCAGUACCCAAACCUCCGCUGGCAGCGCCCUGGUGCAGGAUCUGCCUCACGUGCACGAGAAGGUGCAGGAAAUCAAAUGACUGCCCGAUGGCUAUCCUCGAGAGGAAGAAGUCACUCAACUACCUUGUGCUCGAUGAGGUAACCGAUGAUGACAACUCUGUUGUCACCCUGACACCAUGUAGAGGCUCCAGCUUCUCCACUGUCCUGCUCA
Long non-coding RNA from Lolium rigidum, 732 nucleotides. RefSeq lists it as uncharacterized. The transcript has 5 exons. The record is from RefSeq and is a predicted model, not a curated record. NCBI's taxonomy places the organism in Eukaryota, Viridiplantae, Streptophyta, Magnoliopsida, Poales, Poaceae.